RNAcentral lists this microRNA precursor (191 nucleotides) under Oryza brachyantha (malo sina). RNAcentral describes it as "MIR812 microRNA precursor family". It matches the Rfam family "MIR812 microRNA precursor family". The record is from Rfam by way of RNAcentral. Lineage: Eukaryota; Viridiplantae; Streptophyta; Magnoliopsida; Poales; Poaceae.
AAUAACCUCAUUUUUCGUUUUUACGUGUCAACGUCUAACAAUUCGUCUUAUUUGAAUUUUUUUGCGAUUAAUAUUUUUAUUGUUACUAGAUGAUAAAAUAUGAAUAUUAUUUUAUACGUGACUAAUUUUUUAAAAUUUUUAUACAAAAUUUUAAAAUAAAACAAAUGGUCAAACAUUGGACACGGAGAAAC